ACUAAUUUGGCAGAUAUAAUGCUCUUGACUUAGGUUCAAGUUAUACUUAAGUAGUAGUAGUUAGUU
Molecule: transfer RNA, 66 nt
Filed under: Euglandina singleyana
Lineage: Eukaryota; Metazoa; Mollusca; Gastropoda; Stylommatophora; Spiraxidae
Description: tRNA-Leu
Source: RNAcentral